This 253-nucleotide ribosomal RNA is filed under the name uncultured prokaryote. Its description in RNAcentral is "partial 16S ribosomal RNA". It matches the Rfam family "Bacterial small subunit ribosomal RNA", at positions 524 to 776 of the family's 1533-position model. The record is from RNAcentral.
UACGGGGGGGGCAAGCGUUGUUCGGAAUUACUGGGCGUAAAGGGCUCGUAGGCGGCCAACUAAGUCAGACGUGAAAUCCCUCGGCUUAACCGGGGAACUGCGUCUGAUACUGGAUGGCUUGAGUGUGGGAGAGGGAUGCGGAACUCCAGGUGUAGCGGUGAAAUGCGUAGAUAUCGUGAGGAACACCAGAGGCGAAGGCGGUUACCUGGACAGUUACUGACGCUCAGGCACGAAAGCAUGGGGAGCAAAAGGG